UACGAAGGGGGCUAGCGUUGUUCGGAAUUACUGGGCGUAAAGCGUAUGUAGGCGGAUCGUUAAGUCGGGGGUGAAAUCCCGAGGCUCAACCUCGGAACUGCCUUCGAUACUGGCGAUCUUCGAGUCCGGGAGAGGUGAGUGGAACUCCGAGUGUAGAGGUGAGAUUCGUAGAUAUUCGCAAGAACACCAGUGGCGAAGGCGGCUCACUGGCCCGGUACUGACGCUGAGGUGCGAAAGCGUGGGGAGCAAACAGG
RNAcentral lists this ribosomal RNA (254 nucleotides) under uncultured bacterium. Its description in RNAcentral is "partial 16S ribosomal RNA". It matches the Rfam family "Bacterial small subunit ribosomal RNA", at positions 524 to 776 of the family's 1533-position model. The record is from RNAcentral.